ACAAAUAAUAGAGCCAGUUCCAUUGGAAACGUACUAAGUAGCAUUCAGAAAUGGACGCAAGAUCUGCUGGUGUUUGUUCCUUCUUGGUGCUGCUAUUAUUCGGGAGUCCUGUUUCUGCAGAGACUGUAUUGUGCAACGAUAAAGGAAGAGACAAGCACGAUAGGCAGUACCAUUGCAACGUGUAGCAUUCAGAAAUGGACUCAAGAUCUGCUGGUGUUUGUGUCCUCUUGGUGUUGCUGUUACUUGGAAGUCCUGUAUCUGCAGAGCGUUGUGAAACAAAGAGAACUUGGCUCUACCUUUGCAUCAAGUCGACAUGCGAGAAACCUUGCGAGAAACUGGCGAAUGAAGCACAGACCACUAAGUGGUAUUCCUCGUGCGAUGGGUCUUUCAAUGGUGUCUGCAGCUGCAAGAUCUGCUAUCCUAAUUAACCACAAUCGGUUAUAGUGUGCUGGAUGUGCUUCUUCUAAGAUAGCCUUGUGUUACUUCAAGAAAAAUAAGCGUAAUAUGUUAUUAGAACCAAGAUUCAAAAUUGUAAUACCAUUUUUGUUUA
Molecule: long non-coding RNA, 550 nt
Organism: Brachypodium distachyon (stiff brome)
Lineage: Eukaryota; Viridiplantae; Streptophyta; Magnoliopsida; Poales; Poaceae
Exons: 3
Source: RefSeq, a predicted model, not a curated record